This 909-nucleotide long non-coding RNA is filed under the name Lathyrus oleraceus (garden pea). RNAcentral's name for it is "Pisum sativum (pea) long non-coding RNA (PSAT_LNC009020)". Lineage: Eukaryota; Viridiplantae; Streptophyta; Magnoliopsida; Fabales; Fabaceae. The record is from RNAcentral.
CAUCAUCGCUCAACUCCUUGGAUCCAUCGUCGCCUCCGCACUCCUCGUCUUUGUCACCGCAUCGGUAUGACUGAUAAUUUUUAUAACUAAAUAUAACGUUAGUUAUAGAAGUUAGUUACUUCUUCAAAAUACAGUUAUUUGUUAUAUUUAUUUUUUAUUUUUAAGAAACUUUAGAUUUAAUUAACUAGAGUUUUGUUACCGUGUAUCGCAGUCUGUGCCAGCAUUCGCUCUAUCCGCAGGAGUUGGAGUGGGUCCCGCUUUGGUGUUGGAGAUUGUGAUGACUUUCGGUUUGGUGUACACUGUGUACGCUACAGCCGUUGACCCAAAGAAGGGUAAUAUUGGAAUUAUCGCACCUAUUGCUAUUGGUUUCAUCGUUGGUGCUAACAUUUUGGUUGGUGGAGCCUUCACCGGAGCAUCCAUGAACCCCGCCGUGUCAUUCGGGCCUGCUGUGGUGAGCUGGAGCUGGGCCAACCACUGGAUCUACUGGGCCGGCCCACUUAUCGGUGGUGGGCUUGCUGGGCUUAUCUAUGAGGUUCUCUUCAUUAACAGCACCCAUGAGCAGCUUCCAACCACUGACUACUAGAUGGGAAGUGAAAAUGGAACUGAAAUUUGAAAUUGUGUAUUAUUGAAUUUUCUUCUGUGCAUGUUUUUAUUUUCUUGUGUACUUUUUUUAAUUUACCACUAUUUGGAGGGUUGUUUCUUUUGUGCUGAAAAAUGGUGGCCGUUGAUGUUUGGUUGUACGGUUGGUGAUGAUGAAUGGUUAAAUUAUUUUGUACAUGUAUGGCCUAGUAGGUUCUUUGCAGCGGGUCCCACCACUUAAUCAAUGUUAUAAUUUCGGGUAUGGUUGAUUGUAUCAUUCAACUUUUUUUUUUUUUACCAUAGUUAAUGCGAUUCUCCUUUUUAUUUGAA